UGCCAGCAUCUUCCUGCUGCUGCUGAUCACCGUUCUGAUCUGUGCCGUGUACUCCUGUGGUUCUCUGUUCCCUAAGGCCCUGCAACGUCUGUCCCGCAGCAUUGUCCGCUCACGGGCACAUAGCACCGCAGUUGGCAUCUUUUCCGUCCUGCUAGUGUUUACUUCUGCCAUUGCCAACAUGUUCACCUGUAACUACACCCCCAUACGGACAUGUGCAGCCCGGAUGCUGAAUUUAACACCUGCUGACAUCACUGCCUGCCACCUGCAGCAGCUCAAUUACUCUCUGGGCCUGGAUGCUCCCCUGUGUGAGGGCACCAUGCCCACCUGCAGCUUCCCUGAGGUGUUCGAGCAGUGCUCAGGUGGUGGGGGGGCUGUUCUGGCACAGACAUUGGCCCUUCUGUGCCAGGCCUGGUGAUGGGCGCUGGGGACCCAGGAACUCACCAGAGUCUUCCACACUAGGAGCAACCAGGGGCUCUGGUGUGUUGUAGGGGCUGGGCAUGGAAGGUGGAGGAUUAUGGGGGUUUGAGGGGUGUGGCGGGAAGGUUAAGUCAGGCAGGAGAGUGCAGGGCUCUCCCUGCCCAAGGGUGCUGUGGCCUCUGCCUUCACCCAACGCUGCCUCUGCCACCCCCGCAGUACUUCAUCGGGAACAUGCUGCUGAGUCUCUUGGCCAGCUCUGUCUUCCUGCACAUCAGCAGCAUCGGGAAGUUGGCCAUGAUCUUUGUCUUGGGGCUCAUCUAUUUGGUGCUGCUUCUGCUGGGUCCCCCAGCCACCAUCUUUGACAACUAUGACCUACUGCUUGGCGUCCAUGGCUUGGCUUCUUCCAAUGAGACCUUUGAUGGGCUGGACUGUCCAGCUGCAGGGAGGGUGGCCCUCAAAUAUAUGACCCCUGUGAUUCUGCUGGUGUUUGCUCUGGCGCUGUAUCUGCAUGCUCAGCAGGUGGAGUCGACUGCCCGCCUAGACUUCCUCUGGAAACUACAGGCAACAGGGGAGAAGGAGGAGAUGGAGGAGCUACAGGCAUACAACCGGAGGCUGCUGCAUAACAUUCUGCCCAAGGACGUGGCGGCCCAUUUCCUGGCCCGGGAGCGCCGCAAUGAUGAACUCUACUAUCAGUCGUGUGAGUGUGUGGCGGUUAUGUUUGCCUCCAUUGCCAACUUCUCUGAGUUCUAUGUGGAGCUGGAGGCAAACAAUGAGGGUGUCGAGUGCCUGCGGCUGCUCAACGAGAUCAUCGCUGACUUUGAUGAGGUACUUUUCCAGUUGGCUGGUGGUGGCAGAGAAUGGGGGGUACUUGGAGACCUGGGAUUGGAAGGGGUGAGUGGAACUGGGAAGAGAAAGAGAGAUUUGAUGGGACCCAGAGGCAUCAGGGGUAAGGGUAGGCACAGUGGAGGCAGAGGCAAGAACCCAUGAAGGUGUCAGAGGCAGCAAGGGGGUCAGCCCUAGUGGGGCAGGGUCAUCACUGUUGGGGAGCAGGGGAGGACUUGAUCUGUAGGGGGAUAGGAUAGGUACCAGGUGGAUGUCACUGAAGAAGAAGGCAAUAGUCUGUGGACAGAACCUCAUGAGACCAACCAAGCAAGAUGGUCCUCUGAAUAGAGAAAAUUGAAGCAAAAUGUGAGGUAGUGUCCUGAACAUCCAGAUCAGGAAUGGGCUGUUCACUGUUCUGGAGGGAAGUCACUUGCUCACCCUGGGACUCAGUAUCCC
This 1695-nucleotide small RNA is filed under the name Pongo abelii (Sumatran orangutan). RNAcentral describes it as "retained intron". The record is from RNAcentral. Lineage: Eukaryota; Metazoa; Chordata; Mammalia; Primates; Hominidae.